This 511-nucleotide ribosomal RNA is filed under the name uncultured Actinomycetes bacterium. RNAcentral describes it as "bacterial SSU rRNA". It matches the Rfam family "Bacterial small subunit ribosomal RNA", at positions 1 to 531 of the family's 1533-position model. The record is from RNAcentral. Lineage: Bacteria; Bacillati; Actinomycetota; Actinomycetes.
CCNUUAGAGUUUGAUCNUGNNUCAGGACGAACGCUGGCGGCGUGCUUAACACAUGCAAGUCGAACGAACUCGGACUUCGGUCCUUAUGGGUGAGUGGCGAACGGGUGAGUAACACGUGAGAAACCUGCCCCGAAGUUUGGAAUAACUCAGAGAAAUUUGAGCUAAUACCAGAUGCCCACUGUCAGCCGCAUGGUUGGUUGAGGAAAGAUUUAUCGCUUUGGGAGGGUCUCGCGACCUAUCAGCUAGUUGGUGAGGUAAUGGCUCACCAAGGCAUCGACGGGUAGCUGGUUUGAGAGAACGAUCAGCCACACUGGAACUGAGACACGGUCCAGACUCCUACGGGAGGCAGCAGUGGGGAAUCUUGCACAAUGGGCGAAAGCCUGAUGCAGCGACGCCGCGUGGGGGAUGAAGGCCUUAGGGUCGUAAACCCCUUUCAGUAGGGAAGAAAAUGACGGUACCUACAGAAGAAGCUCCGGCCAANUACGUGCCAGCAGCCGCGGUAAUAAGGGCG